UACGGAGGGGGCUAGCGUUGUUCGGAAUUACUGGGCGUAAAGCGCACGUAGGCGGCUUUUUAAGUCAGGGGUGAAAUCCCGGGGCUCAACCCCGGAACUGCCCUUGAAACUGGAGAGCUAGAAUCUUGGAGAGGCGAGUGGAAUUCCGAGUGUAGAGGUGAAAUUCGUAGAUAUUCGGAAGAACACCAGUGGCGAAGGCGACUCGCUGGACAAGUAUUGACGCUGAGGUGCGAAAGCGUGGGGAGCAAACAGG
RNAcentral lists this ribosomal RNA (253 nucleotides) under uncultured bacterium. RNAcentral's name for it is "partial 16S ribosomal RNA". It matches the Rfam family "Bacterial small subunit ribosomal RNA", at positions 524 to 776 of the family's 1533-position model. The record is from RNAcentral.